This is a long non-coding RNA of Sander lucioperca (pikeperch), 208 nucleotides long. RefSeq lists it as uncharacterized. The transcript has 3 exons. The record is from RefSeq and is a predicted model, not a curated record. NCBI's taxonomy places the organism in Eukaryota, Metazoa, Chordata, Actinopteri, Perciformes, Percidae.
GAUGUGUGGGGAUGGAGACAGGGUGGAGUUGUUGACAGUGAGACCGAAGUUAUGGGUGUUCUUUGUGAGGGAUUUCGGGCCGAUGAGCAUCAAGUCGGAUUUAUUGUAGUUGAGUUGGAGGAAGUUGGUAUGCAUCCAGUUUUGAAUAUUGGUGAGGCAGUUGGUCAAGGUGGAGGAUAUAGCUGUGGUGAUGGAUUUGGUAGAGAUG